This 546-nucleotide ribosomal RNA is filed under the name uncultured Glomeromycotina. RNAcentral's name for it is "SSU rRNA". It matches the Rfam family "Eukaryotic small subunit ribosomal RNA", at positions 548 to 1098 of the family's 1831-position model. The record is from RNAcentral. Lineage: Eukaryota; Fungi; Glomeromycota.
UUGGAGGGCAAGUCUGGUGCCAGCAGCCGCGGUAAUUCCAGCUCCAAUAGCGUAUAUUAAAGUUGUUGCAGUUAAAAAGCUCGUAGUUGAAUUUCGGGGUUCUUCCGUUGGUCAGGCUAACAAGUCUGUACUAGCGUGUAGAAUCUCUACCUUCUGGGGAACCAUCAUGUUAUUAAUUUAGCGUGGUGGGAAACCAGGACCUUUACCUUGAAAAAUUAGAGUGUUCAAAGCAGGCUUACGUCUGAAUACAUUAGCAUGGAAUAAUAAAAUAGGACGGUGGUCCUGUUUUGUUGGUUUCUGAAUCACCGUAAUGAUUAAUAGGGAUAGUUGGGGGCAUUAGUAUUCAAUUGUCAGAGGUGAAAUUCUUGGAUUUAUUGAAGACUAACUUCUGCGAAAGCAUUUGCCAAGGAUGUUUUCAUUAAUCAAGAACGAAAGUUAGGGGAUCGAAGACGAUCAGAUACCGUCGUAGUCUUAACCAUAAACUAUGCCGACUAGGGAUCGGACGAUGUUAAAUUUUAUUGACUCGUUCGGCGCCUUACGGGAAAC